GGGAAAGGCUGCCCCUGGCUGGGAAAUGGUGCAGGGACAUAGGUGACAUGCUUCGGCAGUAGCACGGGAGGUUUGGACAAGGCAGACCAGUGCCUGUGGGAGGAUGCCAGGCCAUUACAAACAUCUACUCACUGAGCCUGCCUGGUAAUUUGAAGAUUUCGCCUUCACUGAUUGGCUGCGAGAAGGCUGCACACCUGGACUGUGAUUGCAGUGGUAAGGAAGCUGCUGUUACAGGGCUCCCAGAAGAACUGACUGUCACUUCACCCUGGGGGAGAGAGGUUAACACAUCAACUGAAAAAGAACAGCCGCAACCGUGGAAGGGGCUUAUCACACAAUCCUCCAGACAGCAGAGAAAGAACUCUGACCUUUCUCUAGAAGUGCUGGCCCUUAUCGCUUCAGCUAAAUGAGAAGGAUCUGAUUUCUAGUGACCGCUCUUGUGAUGUUCCAAGUAGCCAUAUUACACAGCUCAGUAACUACCAUAAAGCCCAA
Chelonia mydas (Green sea turtle) is the source of this 489-nucleotide long non-coding RNA. RefSeq lists it as uncharacterized. The record is from RefSeq and is a predicted model, not a curated record. NCBI's taxonomy places the organism in Eukaryota, Metazoa, Chordata, Testudines, Cheloniidae. The transcript is spliced from 3 exons.